AGGCAGCAGGGGGAAGGACAAGGGCGAAAGCCGACCAGCAAGCCGCGGGGAAGAAGGCCCGGGGAAUGCACGCCGGAAAGAAAGGCCGGAAACCGGGGCGAGACGGACCGGAAGAAAAGGACCGGC
This 126-nucleotide ribosomal RNA is filed under the name uncultured bacterium. RNAcentral's name for it is "partial 16S ribosomal RNA". The record is from RNAcentral.